CUUCAAUUAGGUUGGAAUCAAUUUCAAAUUCUCCCUCUCUUCAAUAUCAUAACUCACUUUCUUUCUCAUGGAUUUCAAUUCUUCUCUCAUCAGCUCUCUCAUCCUCUCUGAUAUCUUCACCACCACCAACACCUUCGCUGCCGUCAUUUUCUUUCUCAUUGAUUUCAUUAAGUUCUCUUCUCAUGAAGCAGAGAACACGACUGCAACGAAGGUAUGUAAAUACAUGGGGUUUCUGCAAUUUUCACGGCUGGAGAAGUAUCCAAAUGAAGCAGAUUUAUGAUUGAAUAAAAAUGGACCAAAGUGUUUCAGAAUUCAAUUACCAGAUAUUGUUGUUCAUGAAUUUGAGGAAAAAGGUAUGUUUUCUUCUUUGAAAUGCCUAUUUUUCUUCAAUACUGUUUCUUAUAUCCGAUUUUAUGAUCCUUUUUCUAUUUCUUUGAAAAUAUUGUUGCUUAGUUGUCAUAUUUAUUGGGAUUUGUUUCUAUCGUUUAGUUAAUAAUCCCUACUUUUUAGGAGUUAGUGGCGUUUAGAUGGUUUUUUUUCUCCGAUGAUUGAUUUGUUUUUGUUAAAUUUCAGAUUUUUUUUUAGAUUUGUAUCAAUUUUAAUUAGUUUUAUUUGUUAUUUGUAAACUUUAAUCGAGGAGAAAACCAAACUGAUAUAACCUAGUCCGUUUAUUGCAUUUGCUUGAGGCCAAACAAAAAAAUCUCCUUGCUUCAGAAGCAGCUUGACCCUUCCCUUUCAUUUGUCUCUCUCAAGCCAAAUAUUGCAGGACUGAUGCUGCUGCUAUUGUUUUUCUGCUUUGUUGGAAUCAAUUUCAAAAUUCAAUUUCUCCCACUCUUUUUCAAUAUCUAAACUCACUUUCUUACUCAUCUCUCUCUCCAUUUUUUGUUGAUUCUUCGAACUUCUUCUCUCUCCAUGAAUCAACCUUCUUGGAUGGCACAAGCCACAAUCUCCAAAGGUUUUCUUCUCCAUCGAAUCCUCCAACCUGUUUCAAGAUCCAUCCAGCAGGCCAAAAGAUUUGUAGACUAUUUGGCUACUUUGGUCCUCUAAAUGAAGUUUUCAUGCUUGUGAUUAUUAUAUUAGAUUUUGAAUUAACAUGAUUCCCAUGCGAUGCACUUCCAGCGGACAAAUUCAGUCAGUUACUGUGAGUAAUCUUCUCCACUUUAUUAAGCUUUUUAUUUUGAUCAUAAAAUUAUUGAAGAAUCAAGGACUUAGAGCUACAAUUCUCCUUGGAGAGGCAUAUGCAUCAUUUUCAAGUAUAUAGAGUUAGCACAUACAAAAAAUAUGUACGAAUGAAAGAUAUAUAAGCGUUCUCUUUCUCUCUUUAUGUUCACAUUGUGUCCUGUUUGUGCGUGAAAGUUGAUGUUGUCAAGCCUCUUUAUUGUUGGAAACAUUGAUCUUUUAGUCAUAAGGAGGGGUUAUUACUUAAAGGAUGCAUUUCCAUGUUAUACUAGCACUACCAGGUAAUUAUUUCAGUUACUUUUUACACACACUUUAAGUCUUUAAAACAUCAGUUUUGAAACAAAGUAGAAAAGUACACUUAUUUUUCUUCAAAGUUGAGACACCCUCUUCAUUGAGUUGUUUGUAAUUUUGAUGCUAUUGUGUUUUUAUAUUCACAUGUAAUUUUUUUUAUAUUCAUAGUUUUAAUAGGCAUCUAUUUUACUUCACUCAGGAGACACUCUCAUUGGUGGAAAUUUGCUCGAGGUCCGAUCCUAAUUUUGAGGGAUUGCAUGCAUCUCAAAGAAAGAUUAGUGAACACGGAUGCUGUGAUGGAGCUCCUGCCUUGGAAAGAUAGACUUAAGAGUCUAUGGACGGUUCACAUACUAAUCAAAGCUUUAGGAAACAUGUCCAGUUAAACAUAGAGAAUUCCAUGGAGAUCGAACCUUAAAUGAGAAACAAGUUGAGAUUCUUAAUGACAUCACUAUCAUUUUCAGAGUUUUUGACCAAAUAUUACAGAGCAUGUCAUACGGAAAAGAUUAGAAAGGAAGGAGCAAGAUGAUUAGCUAAAGCUUGAGUGCAACUAAGAUAGAUACAAUUUGUAAUAAAUAUAAUACCCUUAAAUGUUGAAUAGAAUCACUGUCUAACAUUGUUUUUCCAAUAUAAUUAUGCUUAUUCAAUAGCUUUAAA
Trifolium pratense (red clover) is the source of this 2124-nucleotide long non-coding RNA. RefSeq lists it as uncharacterized. The transcript has 9 exons. The record is from RefSeq and is a predicted model, not a curated record. NCBI's taxonomy places the organism in Eukaryota, Viridiplantae, Streptophyta, Magnoliopsida, Fabales, Fabaceae.